This 581-nucleotide ribosomal RNA is filed under the name uncultured Pantoea sp. RNAcentral's name for it is "bacterial SSU rRNA". It matches the Rfam family "Bacterial small subunit ribosomal RNA", at positions 102 to 679 of the family's 1533-position model. Lineage: Bacteria; Pseudomonadati; Pseudomonadota; Gammaproteobacteria; Enterobacterales; Erwiniaceae. The record is from RNAcentral.
ACGGGUGAGUAAUGUCUGGGGAUCUGCCCGAUAGAGGGGGAUAACCACUGGAAACGGUGGCUAAUACCGCAUAACGUCGCAAGACCAAAGAGGGGGUCCUUCGGGCCUCUCACUAUCGGAUGAACCCAGAUGGGAUUAGCUAGUAGGCGGGGUAAUGGCCCACCUAGGCGACGAUCCCUAGCUGGUCUGAGAGGAUGACCAGCCACACUGGAACUGAGACACGGUCCAGACUCCUACGGGAGGCAGCAGUGGGGAAUAUUGCACAAUGGGCGCAAGCCUGAUGCAGCCAUGCCGCGUGUAUGAAGAAGGCCUUCGGGUUGUAAAGUACUUUCAGCGGGGAGGAAGGCGAUGGGGUUAAUAACCUUAUCGAUUGACGUUACCCGCAGAAGAAGCACCGGCUAACUCCGUGCCAGCAGCCGCGGUAAUACGGAGGGUGCAAGCGUUAAUCGGAAUUACUGGGCGUAAAGCGCACGCAGGCGGUCUGUUAAGUCAGAUGUGAAAUCCCCGGGCUUAACCUGGGAACUGCAUUUGAAACUGGCAGGCUUGAGUCUUGUAGAGGGGGAUAGAAUUCCAGGUGUAGC